AUAUAUUUCCUUUGGACAUCAAAUCUGUGUGGGAAGGCAUGGAAGAAUGCAAAACUCUUGGCCUUACUAAGGCUAUUGGUGUCAGCAAUUUUUCUUGUAAGAAACUCGAGGAGCUUCUCUCCACUGCUAAAAUUCCUCCAGCUGUAAAUCAGGCGAGUGGAAAAUUAUUUAAGAGAAAAAAAAGAAAAGAAAUGAGUGUUGUUAUUUUUUCACAUAAUUUUUUUUUUAAGUUGCAGGUGGAGAUGAACCCACUUUGGCAGCAGAAGCAACUGAGGGAGUUUUGCAAGGGAAAAGGUAUUCAUAUCACAGCUUACUCACCGUUGGGUGCAAAUGGAACUAAAUGGGGUGACAACAGAAUUCUAGAAUGUGAUGUGCUUCAACAAAUUGCCAAGGCAAAAGGCAAGACUACAGCUCAGGUACUUAUUACACCCAAAAUAUUUAUCAUCUAUAGAUCUUAAUAUAAACACAUGGAAUUUCAGGUGAAUCCACCAUAUAUUUCAAUAUUACAUAAAUUUUUUUAUAAGCGAAAAGAUUGAAAAGGACAAAAAACACUAAAAUGACCCAAGUUAAGAAAAGAUAUAAAUUUUUUUUUAAACUUUAAUUCCGAAAAAAUGGUUAGCUUUCUUGUUUGUUUUUCUUAUUUCACUUCCACAAGUUUUGUAAAUAAAAUAAAAUGAAGGUUUCGCUGAGAUGGGUGCAUGAGCAAGGUGUGAGUUUGGUGGCAAAAAGUUUCAACAAGGAGAGGAUGAAGGAGAACCUCCAGAUCUUUGAUUGGUCGUUGACUGAAGAGGAGUCGAACAAGAUCAGUAACCUUCCUCAACGCAAAGGAGUUCUAUCGGCCAACAUUCUAGGCCCACACGAUUUUAGUCUAGAGCUUGAUGCAGAGAUAUGAAUCCCAAUAAUUGCUGGUCUAAUUUUAAGCCUAUUAGAAAUAGACAAUAUUUUAGUGGUAUUUUAUGUUUUAAAUAAUUAAUUUGAAAUUUUAAUAAUUCCGCUGUUUUAAUAUAUAUAUAUAUAUAUAUAUAUAUAUAUAUAUAUAUAUGAAUUUCAAUGUCCUCUGGUUGUUAAUGUCUGAUAGUUUCUGUAUGAUUUAAUUUAUAAUUUUUUGUUAACAUUUUUCAAAAUAAAUAUUAUUUUAUUUUGAUUUUAUUUAUUAUUUAAAAGGGUAGAACAGCUUAAUGAAAAGAAUGAGGUGUAAAGUAUAUAUUUGUUCUUUCUAUAUAUAUAUAUAUAUAUAUAUAAAUAAUAAUUAUUUUUUUUCCAAAAAUGUAGAUAUUCAUUACUAAAAAUAUAAAUUAUAAUAUAUGUAACAGCCCGGAAACCGAAUUGCUAUCGGCAUUAGGAUUCAGAUCGACUUAAGGUCACCGGGACCCGUAGUAAGCCUGUUAUACUGUCUGUGUACCUGUGAAAUCUCAUACAUGAUCAAACAUUCCAGUAACUCAUUAAAACUUUUCUGUACAGGGCUUAACCUGACCCUUCUCGAGAAUUCCGACACCCGAGAUUCCACCAGAUGACAGGAAUUCUGAGGCCGGACUCGAGCCGGGUAUUACAAUAUAUAAGUCCAGAAAUUUAAAAAAUUAAUUAUUUUUUUUCAUUUAUUGAAUUUAGAGAGAAGNNNNNNNNNNNNNNNNNNNNNNNNNNNNNNNNNGUUGUCGAAGAAGAGUGGUGGCCAAAGUACUUCGGCCAUCAUGUGUUGAGGCUCACCUUAGUAACAUGUAAGCCGAUACAGGCUCCAAGUAGUAAAUCACCAUGUAAAUAUUAAAGCCAUUCUAUUGAUCUAAGCCUUUCAAACUGGAUUUGCAAAAAUAAAGAAAUUCUUUCCAAAAACUCACUUGCGCCCUAAGAAAAAAUCAGAAAAUAAAUGGAAAAUCUGAAACUAACAAAAGAAAAGAAAAAUAAAACAUUCACAUAAGGAGGGCAAACCCACAGAUUAGUUGGAGAAACUACAAGACCGACAAGAAGAGAAUAAAUGCACCAUUACACUCCAAUGAUGGUAAAGGAAAUCAGCACUGCAUUUAACUAUUUUAACUAAUAUAAUAAAUGCACGUAUCGAUUUUUUUAAAUUAAAAAUUAAAAAUUAAGUGUAAAAUCUAAAAUAUCUCAUAUUUAUUCGACUAAACCUGUGAAAAUACCUUAUAAAAAAUAUUUUUUCUGUAUAACUCUGUAAAUAAAUGAAACCUUAAAUUACAAAUUUAUUCUUUUUGAAAUAAUUACAUUAAAAAAUUGCUUUAUAGCAGAUAGAAAAAUUAAGCCUUUUAAUUUAGGUAUGUCUCUUAGCUUAUAAAAUAGUCAAAGUUAGAUGAAUUAUUUGUUUAUAACAUUUUUUAAAUUUAUAAAUUAAGAAAAAAGUUGAGAAAUACUAAAUUUAUAAGAUGGUUUGACCAAGUAAAUUAUCAUAUCCUCUUCAUUAAAUUUUAAAACUUUAUCAUAUAUUUUAUUUAUCAUCUUUAGUAAUUUUAAUAAUAAAUGUAUUUAAGCACUCACAUAUUUAGUUUGAUGGUAAAUAUAUUUGAGUAGAUUUAAGAGAUUUCAGGUUAUACUCCUCCAAUUUUUAAUUCUAUUUUCAGUUUAAAAAAAUAAAUAAAUGUAUUUAAAAGCUAAUUAUCACUAAAUAUAUCAAUUGUUUAUCACCUACUUAUAUAAGCAUUUUAACCAAAAAUUUAAUUAUUUAAAAUUUAAAAUACUUAUAAGCUUUAAAUAACUUAUAAGCUAAUCUAAACACCCUCCUAAUUUCAUAUUUAAUGUUAAAAUAAAUCAUUUUUAUUAGGAAAAUAAUAAUGGAAAUCUCUAUCUAAAAUAUAUUAUUACUUUUAUUAGAAUUAUAUUAUAGGAAUAAAAAAAUUAUUUAAAUUUCAACUAUAAAAUGUCACAUGUAUUUUAGGUCCAUAAAUUUUAUUUAAUGAUUAUUUUAAUUAAAUUAAUUUCUAUAAAUAAAUUCAUUUAAAUAUUUAUAAUAUAAAUUGACUAAUUAAAAUUAUCAUGUCAUCAUCCAAUUAAAAGAGUCAAGUCAACCAAUAAAAUAGUGAUAUUUAUCAAAAAUCAAUCAGCUUCCUCCCAAAUUCUCUAUAAAUAGAGAUCCUCCUCAAAUGAGAAAAAAAAAAAAGAAGAGGAUCAAAUCUCGAGCUACAGAAACUCUUUCAAAACUAAAAGCUACUAACUUUACUCAAGUUUCAAGACUAUAAAAUCUAUAAGUUCCCAUUCUCCAAAUCGACAGAGUCAUUUUACUAAUUCAAAAACAAACUUUUUAACUCUUUGAAUUAUAAAUGUCAAAGGAGAAUCUACCGGUUCUACAAAAAUUAUUAACUCUACAAAAAUUUCAUCAAAGUUUCAAGACUAUCAAAUCUACAAGUCCAUCUUCCCCACAUCGAAGAGGUCUUCUCUAACAAUUCGAGAAUAAGUUUUUCAAGUCCUUGAAUCACAAGUGUCAAAAGAGAGAAUCCAUCAGCUCUAAAGAAAUUUCAUCUAAGUUUCAAGACUACCAAAUCUACAAGUUUUUGUUCCCCAAAUCGAAGAAAUCUUCUCUACCGAUUCAAGAACAAGUUUUUCAAAUUUUUGAAUUGCACGAGUAAAAAAAAAUAUUCAAAGGAUUGAGUUCUUUUAUAUGAAUAAAUUCAUUAUUAGAGAUCAAACUACUCUUUUUUUUUUAUUAAAUUGAUACUUGUUCUCAUUUUCUUUGUCUUUAAUUUUAGUCACGAAAUUUGUAUGUACAAAUUUUUGGUAUACCCAAUGGGACUGAAGAAGAUCUCAUGGUUAAGUAAUUUAUUCGACCAUUAAAAGAAAAUCACCUUGAAAGAACGUCAAAAGAAGUAAUAUCCUUUCUCUGAUUUUGAUGUAUCAGGGAUGUUGAAUAAUUUGUUGCAAGUUAAUUCCAUUGAAUUGCUAGAGAUAAAACAUUUAGAAAAGGCUAAUCGUACGAAUGAUCCAAACUAUUGUAGGUAUCAUCGAUUGAUUAGUCAUCCUGUGCAAAAGUGUUUCAUCUUCAAAGAUAAGGUUAUGGAGCUACAUACAAUAGGAGAUGUCAUUUUUUAUAAAAAAAAUUUUGCAACUUCAAAUAUGACUACUAUCAAAAGGAUCAAGUCGUAUAUUGGCCUAUCUGCUAUGAUGCUGAAGUUUGGAUCUUUUGAGCCAAUUCAAAUAUUGAGUAAUGCAUCUCUAACUCAAACCUCAUCUCAACUUCAAGUCGAAAACCAGCCAUAUGUUGGAGACAUCAAGCUAAAAGACAAUAAAAAGAAGGUAGAAUCUGAUGAAGGAUAUGCUUUUGUUACUUAUAAAAGGAGUAAAAAUAAGAGAAGAUUAUUUCAAGUCCCAAAGUGAUGUGAAUUUCUCCCACCAGGAAUACAGAUACUGUUGGUGAUACAUUCCAAUACUCACAAAAAGCUUGCAUGACACCUAAAUGGCAGUCAUAAAUAAAGAGCAAAGUGUAUAUAGAAUGGUGAAGUCAUUUACUCUUCAAGAGAUACUUGUUGCUUGCUAGUAUAUCUUCUAUUUAUUUUCAAUAGCAUUUCAUGAAGACUCACUAGAUAAGGUAGAAAAUGACUUCCAUAAUACUUUUUCCCAAUGAAUACGACGUUAUAAAAGUAGCAAAUCAUGAGUAAAACUUGUUAAAGUGUAUCGUCUACAAGUCGUUAAAUAUCGAGAAUAUUAUUAUUAUCUUUAUUAAAAUAAAAUUUAAAUAAAAAUAAAAAUAAUCCAAUUAAUUACAAUAAAAAAAUAAUUUAUCAUUUGAUCAAUGUCUUCUUUUAUCUUUCAUAUUAUUUCAUCUUUAUAUAUAUAUAUAUAUAUAUAUAUNNNNNNNNUAUAUAUAUAUUUAUUUAUUAUAUUGUAUUGUCACAUGACAGUCUUAAUAGAAAAAAUAUAUUAUUAUACUACCUCAGUCUUUAUAAUUGAAUGAUUAUUUUUUUAAUGAUUUUCAAAACUAAAACCCUUACUAUAGUAUUUAUUUAUUUUUAUCAAAGAUAAUAAAUAAUAUUAUUUUUCCUUAGACACGUAAUAAAUAUUAUUAGGUUAAAGAGAUAGAUUAGACACUGUACAUGCACGGGUUUGUUUUAGGUAAGCCGAUUAGGAGUCGAUACAACCAUUCAGGCAAUAACUAGGUUGUAAUUAAUUAGCUUGAUUUAAAUUUGAAUCUAAUUCUAAUUAAUGGUUUAAUAGCUUAAUCCAAACCCGACUUGUUUUGGUCUUUGUCUAUCAAAUCAUUAUAUUAAAAAAAUAAAAUUAUAGAAAACCAAAUCAAAUUUAAGAUUAACUCAAAAAUAAAUUAAAAUGAACUAGAAAUUAACUGAUCUAAUUCUAUUUAGUCUUAGUUAAAUAUUGUUAUUGAUAAGCUGGUUUUUAGAUUAUAUACAUAAAAGCAAGUAAUUAAAAAGAGUUAUUUUAUUAUUUAAAAUGUAUGUGCACAUAAAAUUAAUGUAAUUUUUAAAAGUAAUAAUUAUUUCUUUUUGAAAUGAAAAUCGAGUGAUGAGAGAGCAGAACAUAAAAUUUCUCAUAUUUAGUAAAAUAUAUUUAUUAUCAGAUUAAACCUUUAAAUGUGAAAAAUAAUAAUUAUUAUAAAUUAGUAUUUAUUUUUUUACUGUUCACCAAUUUUGCAUACGAAAAGUUAAAAAAAAAAAAAGUGAUAUAAUGGGUAUCGGCCAUUUAGGUGGCGCCCCAAUCAAUCUCUUAAUUACCAACUUUACUCAUUGUUUAUAUGUAUAUAUGUUUAGUGAAACCAAGAAUAAUCUGCAGAAAGACUUGGAAAGCCUAGUUGGUAGCAGCUACAAAUGGCAGUGAUACCUGAAAUAACUCUAAGCUCCUGUGGGAAAACGAUGCCGGUGAUCGGCAUGGGAACAUCACCGUAUCCUCCAACUGAUAAAGAAACAACAAAAACUGCCCUUAUUGAAGCCAUUAAAGCAGGCUACCGCCACUUCGACACUGCGUUGGCGUACAGAUCAGAAGAGCCUCUUGGGGAAGCAAUAUCUGAGGCCUUGCGUCUGGGUCUGAUCAAAUCUAGAGAUGAACUCUUCAUCACUUCCAAGCUAUGGAGCAGCUUCGCUGACAAAGAUAUGGUGGUGCCUGCCAUCAGGAUGAGCCUAAGGUAAUCAUCACAGGCCCUUAAACUCAUUUCAGAUCCUGCAGAGUUUAUUAUUUUUAUUGGUUUUGGUUGUAGGAAUCUUCAGCUGGAAUACUUGGAUUUGUACCUUAUACAUUGGCCAUUCAAAUUGAGCCAAAACGUUCGUUCACUGCCAACUACAAGAGAAAAUAUAUUUCCUUUGGACAUUAAAUCUGUGUGGGAAGGCAUGGAAGAAUGCAAAACUCUUGGCCUUACUAAGGCUAUUGGUGUCAGCAAUUUUUCUUGUAAGAAACUCGAGGAGCUUCUCUCCACUGCUAAAAUUCCUCCACCCGUAAAUCAGGCGAGUGGAAAGUUAUAUCAGAGUUUUAUAAAUCUAAUGCUAGACCAGAU
This 6439-nucleotide long non-coding RNA is filed under the name Manihot esculenta (cassava). RNAcentral's name for it is "long non-coding RNA (MESC_LNC010441)". The record is from RNAcentral. Lineage: Eukaryota; Viridiplantae; Streptophyta; Magnoliopsida; Malpighiales; Euphorbiaceae.